Molecule: ribosomal RNA, 301 nt
Filed under: uncultured bacterium
Lineage: Bacteria
Description: partial 16S ribosomal RNA
Rfam family: Bacterial small subunit ribosomal RNA
Source: RNAcentral
CAGUCGCCGCGGUAAUACGGAGGGUGCAAGCGUUAAUCGGAAUUACUGGGCGUAAAGCGCACGCAGGCGGUCUGACAAGUCAGAUGUGAAAUCCCCGGGCUUAACCUGGGAACUGCAUUUGAAACUGUCAGGCUGGAGUCUUGUAGAGGGGGGUAGAAUUCCAGGUGUAGCGGUGAAAUGCGUAGAGAUCUGGAGGAAUACCGGUGGCGAAGGCGGCCCCCUGGACAAAGACUGACGCUCAGGUGCGAAAGCGUGGGGAGCAAACAGGAUUAGAUACCCCUGUAGUCCCUGUCUCUUAUAU